Molecule: ribosomal RNA, 233 nt
Filed under: uncultured bacterium
Lineage: Bacteria
Description: partial 16S ribosomal RNA
Rfam family: Bacterial small subunit ribosomal RNA
Source: RNAcentral
CGGGACGGGUGAGUAAUGUCUGGGAAACUGCCUGAUGGAGGGGGAUAACUACUGGAAACGGUAGCUAAUACCGCAUAACGUCGCAAGACCAAAGAGGGGGACCUUCGGGCCUCUUGCCAUCGGAUGUGCCCAGAUGGGAUUAGCUAGUAGGUGGGGUAACGGCUCACCUAGGCGACGAUCCCUAGCUGGUCUGAGAGGAUGACCAGCUACACUGGAACUGAGACACGGUCCAG